GACGUAGGGCGCGAGCGUUGUCCGGAUUUAUUGGGCGUAAAGAGCUCGUAGGCGGCUCAUUGCGUCAACCGUGAAAACCAGCAGCUCAACUGUUGGCUUGCGGUUGAUACGGGUGGGCUGGAGUUCGGUAGGGGAGACUGGAAUUCCUGGUGUAGCGGUGAAAUGCGCAGAUAUCAGGAGGAACACCCGUGGCGAAAGCGGCUCUCUGGGGCGGUACUGACGCUGAGACGCGAAAGCGUGGGGAGCAAACAGG
Molecule: ribosomal RNA, 253 nt
Filed under: uncultured bacterium
Lineage: Bacteria
Description: partial 16S ribosomal RNA
Rfam family: Bacterial small subunit ribosomal RNA
Source: RNAcentral